CUGCCCCUAGUAUCAGUUUUCUAGACAUUUUAUAUACACAGAUUGUUCUGUGUGGUGAGGUAGGAAUUCAUUUAAAUGCUCUUUUGCUCUGUCAGGCAGUUGCACAAGCAGAAUUUCAGAAGGCAGUCACGUGUGUUCAGCGGUGCAAAGAUAUCCUGUUCCGACUGCCAAAGGAGGCCUGCUACCUUUCCUUGCUAUGUUAUAAUUUUGGUGUAGAAACCUAUGAACUGAAAAGAUAUGAGCAGAGUUCCUUUUGGCUGAGUCAGAGCUAUGAAAUUGGAAAGAUGGAUAAGAUGUAUUCAACUGGACAUGAAAUGCAGGCUAAAGUGCUGCGGUUAUUGGCUACUGUGUAUUUGGACUGGGACUACAAACAAUAUCAAGAGAAAGCUCUCAGAGCAGUUACCUUGGCUAAUGAGGUGAUGGAGCUCUACACACAUUUGAAAAACAUGGAGUAUCCAAUGUGUUUGUGCUUUAACUGUGACUGCAUCUACUCAGGGAGGUAUAGGAUGCUCCUCUCCAAAAAGAUGUGGGGUUUCCUGCAGCAGCACCUAGCCCUGGGGGUGCAUUUUGGGCUCAAUGAUACCCUCCCAGUCAGCGUUUGAAAGAGAUACAUGUCUAAUGCAAAAUGACCUUUCUUCUUUAUCCACUACGCCCACUAUAGCUCCUCAGUAGAAAAGAGGCCUUUUUCUUCCUUUUGUUCCCUCUCAAAAUCUACCAGAACUGUGAAGCAGUACUAUNGUGGGAUUAGAGGACAAAAGGAUGUUCAUAGGAACUUCUCCUAUUUAGUAGUAUAAAUUAUCAAUCAGACUCAAUUGGGAUUAGUAAACAGAUUAAAACAUUUAUUGAGAAAAACCCAAGGUUUUCUUGAUCUCNUUGCUAUCAGAUUUAAGACCUCAAGAUAUAGGGCUAAAUUAAAUAAAUAAUAAAUAAAUAAAGCCUGAAGUAAGUUC
RNAcentral lists this long non-coding RNA (950 nucleotides) under Salvator merianae (Argentine black and white tegu). RNAcentral describes it as "lncRNA (ENSSMRG00000003943.1)". Lineage: Eukaryota; Metazoa; Chordata; Lepidosauria; Squamata; Teiidae. The record is from RNAcentral.